AAUCAACGCUGGCGGCGUGCCUCAGACAUGCAAGUCGAACGCGAAAGUUCCCUUCGGGGGCGAGUAGAGUGGCGCACGGGUGAGUAACACGUAGGUAAUCUACCUUUGGGUGGGGAAUAACAGCCGGAAACGGCUGCUAAUACCGCAUAAUGCAGCGGCUCGACAUCGAGACAGUUGUUAAAGCGGGGGAUCGCAAGACCUCGCGCCUAAAGAGGAGCCUGCGGCGGAUUAGCUUGUUGGUGAGGUAAUGGCUCACCAAGGCAUCGAUCCGUAGCCGGCCUGAGAGGGCGGUCGGGCCACACUGACACUGACAUACGGGUCAGACUCCCACGGGAGGCAGCAGUCGGGAAUUUUGGGCAAUGGGCGCAAGCCUGACCCAGCAACGCCGCGUGAAGGAUGAAAUCCCUCGGGA
This 412-nucleotide ribosomal RNA is filed under the name uncultured bacterium. Its description in RNAcentral is "bacterial SSU rRNA". It matches the Rfam family "Bacterial small subunit ribosomal RNA", at positions 32 to 423 of the family's 1533-position model. The record is from RNAcentral.